AUUGAACGCUGGCGGCAUGCUUUACACAUGCAAGUCGAACGGCAGCGCGGGCUUCGGCCUGGCGGCGAGUGGCGAACGGGUGAGUAAUGCAUCGGAACGUGCCCAGUAGUGGGGGAUAGCCCGGCGAAAGCCGGAUUAAUACCGCAUACGACCUGAGGGUGAAAGCGGGGGACCGAAAGGCCUCGCGCUAUUGGAGCGGCCGAUGUCGGAUUGGCUAGUUGGUGGGGUAAAGGCUUACCAAGGCGACGAUCCGUAGCUGGUCUGAGAGGACGACCAGCCACACUGGGACUGAGACACGGCCCAGACUCCUACGGGAGGCAGCAGUGGGGAAUUUUGGACAAUGGGGGCAAGCCUGAUCCAGCCAUGCCGCGUGCGGGAAGAAGGCCUUCGGGUUGUAAACCGCUUUUGUUCGGGAAGAAAUCCUCUGGGCUAAUACCCCGGGGGGAUGACGGUACCGGAAGAAUAAGCACCGGCUAACUACGUG
This 484-nucleotide ribosomal RNA is filed under the name uncultured bacterium. Its description in RNAcentral is "partial 16S ribosomal RNA". It matches the Rfam family "Bacterial small subunit ribosomal RNA", at positions 28 to 507 of the family's 1533-position model. The record is from RNAcentral.